UACGUAGGCAGCGAGCGUUGUUCGGAGUUACUGGGCGUAAAGAGUGCGUAGGCGGUUUUCUAAGUUUGGUGUGAAAUCUCCCGGCUUAACUGGGAGGGUACGCCGAAAACUGGAAGGCUUGAGUAUGGGAGAGGUAAGCGGAAUUCCUGGUGUAGCGGUGAAAUGCGUAGAUAUCAGGAGGAACACCUGCGGUGUAGACGGCUUACUGGACCAUAACUGACGCUGAGGCACGAAAGCGUGGGUAGCAAACAGG
RNAcentral lists this ribosomal RNA (253 nucleotides) under uncultured bacterium. Its description in RNAcentral is "partial 16S ribosomal RNA". It matches the Rfam family "Bacterial small subunit ribosomal RNA", at positions 524 to 776 of the family's 1533-position model. The record is from RNAcentral.